This 482-nucleotide ribosomal RNA is filed under the name uncultured bacterium. Its description in RNAcentral is "partial 16S ribosomal RNA". It matches the Rfam family "Bacterial small subunit ribosomal RNA", at positions 28 to 507 of the family's 1533-position model. The record is from RNAcentral.
GAUGAACGCUGGCGGCGUGCCUAAUACAUGCAAGUCGAACGCUUCACUUCGGUGAAGAGUGGCGAACGGGUGAGUAAUACCUAAGUAACCUGGCAUCUACAGGGGGAUAACUGAUGGAAACGUCAGCUAAGACCGCAUAGGUGUAGAGAUCGCAUGAACUCUAUAUGAAAAGUGCUACGGGACUGGUAGAUGAUGGACUUAUGGCGCAUUAGCUUGUUGGUAGGGUAACGGCCUACCAAGGCGACGAUGCGUAGCCGACCUGAGAGGGUGACCGGCCACACUGGGACUGAGACACGGCCCAGACUCCUACGGGAGGCAGCAGUAGGGAAUUUUCGGCAAUGGGGGAAACCCUGACCGAGCAACGCCGCGUGAAGGAAGAAGUAAUUCGGUAUGUAAACUUCUGUCAUAGAGGAAGAACGGGGGAUAUAGGGAAUGAUAUCCAAGUGACGGUACUCUAUAAGAAAGCCACGGCUAACUACGUG